UUUAAUUUAGGUUAUACAAGAAAAUAAACAAAAUUAGGAAACAUCAAUUUUACAUCACUUUUAUCUUAUUUAAAAGCACUAAAAUAAUACAUCUUUAAUUAUUCAAAGUUAAUUAGCAAUGAUGACGGCCAUAAAGUACACAACACUAUGAAAUCUUCCAAAGAAUAAAUUUGGGAUGUAAAUUUUCAAAAAUCUAAACUCUGAUUUUGAUGGGAAGGAUAAUCAGAAACGGGGCAAAAAAAUUGUUCUGAUCAUUACAAAUCUUGCAAGUCUCCAGCCAAAGCUAAAGCCUUUUUGUAUGAAUCUCUCAUAGUGGAUUAUAGUUAUAGUUUAUGAUUAACUCAAGGUGAUUACUAGUUCAAAAUCCUCUUCCAGCAAUGGCUACAAUGGAAUUCCACGUCUAAGACUCUGCCUCUCGUCGCACAAGAUUGGAAUAUCACUUCAUAAGAUAUUUGAAUUAAUUCACCAUGAUGUAAAAAAUCUAAGAGGCAAGGUUCUUGACUACAACAAGUAAAAAGCUUAUCAUUAAUACAUCGCUGUGCAAAUUUUAUCAUCAACGGCCCUACGCACAACUGCAUUCCCCCCGGCUCGGCAAAUUUAAAUCUUGAUGUUGAAGUAGUCGG
Molecule: long non-coding RNA, 623 nt
Filed under: Cucumis sativus (cucumber)
Lineage: Eukaryota; Viridiplantae; Streptophyta; Magnoliopsida; Cucurbitales; Cucurbitaceae
Description: long non-coding RNA (CSAT_LNC001276)
Source: RNAcentral